UUCGGUAGGCAGAACUACAUACAGUCAGUCUGGCUUUCAAGUUUGGUUGAAAUGGUAAGCUUGGGAUGGGAUUUAGAGUUUUAUUUGACAUAUUUAUGUAAUUGUUACAUUGUAUACAAUUGUAAACUAUUACAUUAAGCCAAUUAAGUUCAAUGAAGCUGUUCAGAUUUUACUGCAGAUUGGACUGAGACAGUUGAUAAUGUGUUGAAAAGACAUCUGGAUGGACACAGCACUAUCCUACCACACCUUUCUUCAAGCAAGAAGCUUUUACUUUGGAACUGGAUGCAAUUAUAAAGAAGAAACGGACCUUCAUUUGGAAUACUAACAACAUUUUCAUUAUGCCAACUUGAAUGGCAUGGCUUUUGAGGAAACCUAACCCUGAUUGUUUUGAAAGUGUUCACAAGAGUGGUCGAGUUUACUUUUGAGGAAUCUUCUGAAGUCUUUACGGGAACAAAAUCGCAAAAUGGAUCAAGCAAGCGGUGGAGAAGAUCCUAAUAAAGCUAAUAAAAAGAAAGAAAAAGAGGAUGAGAGUAAAAACAAAAAACUGCGUGACCGGAUCACCAGUUUUCGGAAGACUGGGAAUAAAAAGGACAAGCCCCUGAUUCAGCACUCCACAGACCCCCUGUCCACUCAGGUAGAGAUGCCCAUGCCCCAGCCCCUCUUCGACGACCGCUCCAUGAACCUCUCCGAGAAGGAGAUCAAUGACCUCUUUGAGAAGAUGAUGGAGGACAUGAACCUGAAUGAGGAGCGUAAAGCCCCCCUGCGUGGGAAGGACCUGAGCACCAAGCGAGAGAUGGUUGUCCAGUACAUCUCUGCCACCGCUAAAUCUGUGCUACGAGGAGGAGGACUGAGGAACAGCAAGCAUGAGUGUACACUAUCAUCACAGGAGUAUGUCCACGAGCUGCGCUCUGGCAUCACUGAUGACAAGCUGCUGAUCUGCCUGGAGUCCCUUCGUGUCUCUCUCACCAGUAACCCUGUCAGCUGGGUGAACAACUUUGGCCAUGAAGGACUGGGCCUCCUCUUGGAUGCAUUGGAUAAGUUGCUGGAUAAGAAACAGCCAGAAAGUAUAGACAAAAGGAACCAGCACAAGCUGAUCCAGUGUCUCAAGGCCUUCAUGAACAAUAAGUAUGGACUGCAAAGGAUUCUGGGAGAUGAGCGAAGCUUGCUUCUCCUGGCCAGGGCCAUUGACCCAAAACAGACCAGUAUGAUGACAGAGAUCGUCAAGAUCCUCUCAGCUAUCUGCAUCAUUGGAGAGGAAAACAUCCUGGAUAAGAUCCUGGCUGCCAUGACGAUUGCGGCGGAGAGGAAUAACAAGGAGAGAUUUUCUCCGAUAGUGGAGGGACUGGAGAAUCACGAGGCCCAACAGCUCCAGGUGGCCUGCAUGCAGCUGAUCAACGCUCUGGUCACCUCUCCAGACGAUCUGGACUUCAGGAUACAUCUGCGCAACGAGUUCCUCCGCUGUGGCCUCAAGAAGAUCCUCCCGCUGAAAGAGACAGAGGAGCUGGACAUCCAACUGAAGGUGUUCAACGAGAACAAGGAGGAGGACUCCAUUGAGGUCUCCCAUCGCCUCGAUGACAUCCGCGCCGAGAUGGAAUAUCCUUUUGUGUACCAUCUCCUGUCCAACAUGGUGAAAGACACCGGGUCGGAGACCUACUUCCUGUCCAUCCUACAGCACCUCCUGCUCAUCAGGAACGACUACUACAUCAGGCCCCAGUACUACAAGGUCAUAGAGGAAUGUGUGUCUCAGGUGGUUCUCCAUCGCAGCGGGAUGGACCCAGACUUCGGAUACAGAGAGAGACUGGAUGUAGACUUCACCCACCUCAUUGGUAGGUCUGCCAGAAUAGUGCCUCAGGAAAUGGCGGAGAAUUGCUUCUGGAUCAAAGUCAAAGAGGAGAAGUUUGAGAAUCAAGAAUUCUUUGAACAGCUCUCCCUCAGCUUUUCCUCCAGGACCAAAGGUAAGCAGACAGACGCCAGGGUGACGCAAUUCAAGAAAAAGGCGAAGGAGCUGCGAAUCUUGGACGCAAAGACGGCACAGAAUUUGUCAAUUUUCCUGGGCUCAUUCCGGCUGCCUUAUGAAGAGAUCCGGGACAUUGUGCUGGAGGUGGACGAGGGGAGGCUGAGCGAAUCACUGAUCCAGAACCUGAUAAAGAACCUACCAGAACAGAAGGAGCUGAGCGCUCUGGCAGAACUGAAGAAUGAGUACGAGGAACUAUGUGAGCCUGAACAGUUUGGCAUUGUGAUGAGCUCUGUGAAGCUGCUGCGCUCACGCCUCAACGGAAUCCUUUUCAAGCUGACCUUCGAGGAGCAGGUGAACAACAUCCGUCCAGACAUCAUGAAUGUGACGUUCGCCUGCGAGGAGGUGAAGAAGAGUGACAGCUUCAGCAAGCUGCUGGAGAUGGUAUUGCUGGUGGGCAACUACAUGAACGCUGGCUCCCGGAAUGCCCAGACCUUUGGCUUCAACAUCAGCUUCCUCUGCAAGCUUCGAGACACUAAGUCGGCCGACCAAAACACAACGCUGCUCCACUUCCUGGCUGAGAAGUGUGAAGAAAAGUACCCGGAGAUCCUGAGGUUCCCUGAAGAGCUGCAGCACGUGGAGAGUGCUAGCAAAGUUUCUGCCGAGAUCCUGAAGAGCAGUCUCAGCACCAUGGAGAGACACAUCCAGAGGCUAGAAAAUGACAUUGAGAACUUCCCAAAGACGGACGACAAAAAGGAUAAGUUUGUGGAAAAAUUAUCCAUAUCCUUUUCAUGCUUUUUAUUAAUUUCUCACAUUGUCUUAAAUGAACGUAUCGCUGAAGUAGAAAGUAGACAUGUUUUGGCCAUUUGCCGCCUGUGGAUUGUCCACCAGAGAGACUGUGCUGUGCUUGUGUUCUCCCGGGCAGGAAAGAGUAGUUAACGGCCAUAAGUGUGGCUUGUGGCACCCGUGGGCUUAAAGGAAUGGAUAUGGCUGCCUUCCCACUAGUGAGAUGUUUAUCAGAUCUCCUCCUCCUCUACCCAACGUUCCCCAGAGAGAGUUCAGGCCUUGAGCUAUUUUUACCGCUGCUCCACCACUGCCUCCCCUCGGGGUCUCUAAUGAGGGCUCGUUCCCCCACGCGGACUUAUCGCCCACCUCCUGAUUUCAUCUCCCAACCAGCCACAGGCCUCUCCACAUAGACUUUCUGUGGACUAUCACCUUGUGCGGCUCUUCUCUCGUUUUGAUAACAGAGUGCUUUCACUUAAACUCAAGCGGUUCGGCUCUCGAAUCAAAUUAGUGAUGCCUGAGCACUUCUCAGACUCCAUUUUAAGGAGGAAGGAGCCUCGGCAGAAUAGGUUUGUCUAGUAAUCUGGCACCUACAGUACAGACACUACAGUAUAUAGAGUCUCAUUGGUUGAAACCAACUCGGAUGGCAAUAGCUAGGGGCUAUGAUACCUCCUAUCAAUAUAUUUGUAUUAAAACAGACAGCAUUCCUCUGUUUUUUUUUAAAUGGAACCUUUAUUUAACUAAGCAAGUCAGUUAAGAACAAAUUCUUAUUUACAAUGAUGGCUUACCUUGUUCAGGGGCAGAACGACAGAUUUUUACCUUGCGCUCUAACCACUAGGCUACCUGUCUUUAGGUGUGCGUUACCACAUUUAAUAAGGGAAAGCAAGAAUCAUUCAAGGGUAAUUCAUCAAUUCAGGAGGCAUUCCAUAUGUUCAACACUCACACUUGAAGACAUGUUCCGGAACUUUAGCUGCUACUAAGUAUUUUUUAAACCUCCCGCUUUGGGCUGGAUGUGUCAAUGUGUAGUUCAUACAUGCAUAAUCUAUGACCAGAUUUACUUUAUAUCCUAAAUUAGCCAGCAAAUCCUUAGUUUGAAAGCAACAGUUUUACUGGAAGCUGUGCUUGCCCGCACAUGGGCCAGCCCCCUAACAAUUUGACCAUGAGCUUCAGCCCCUUGCUAUAUGUGUGACAGCUAGCAAGGUGCACAUGAUGCACCCACACCACACCCGAGCAGAGAGAGAGAACAGAGUGGUGCACAUAUCUGUUCAAGUUUCAGGGACCCCUUGAGCGCUACUUUCAAAACUACUGGCUAAAAAGUACACACAAUUUCCGGAGAAUCCCUUUAAGAAAGUGUUUAACCUUAAUUUGAGCUCUUUGUUAGCUUGCAAUUUUUUUUUAGCUUUUAGCUGACAUAAGAGUUAUAGCUGCCUAACACAUCAGAAAUCUGCUCCUAGGCAAAGAUUGGCACUUAAUCUGUGUACAUUUUAUAUCUUUAAAAAAUAGAGGCUUCGGCAAAAACCUCCCCUGCAGCUCUGAACCAAGACAGGGAGGAAAGGCAGCUCAGGGCCCCUGAUGUCUGUAUCGAUUCUGGGGCUCCAUGGAGGAUGUCGGCUUGACUGAGAGGAAAUGGAGAGCUGCAUAUAUACUGGAGUAGUGCUCCCCCUCACUGUCUGAAUCGUGUCCCCAGAGAGUGAGAGGGAGAGAAGCUGCCUGGCCAUGAAUGGAAACGCCCCACUUCCCCGUCUCACCUGAUCUGGCAUCAGAGCUGAAAUGGAGCCUCAGUCGUAUUUGGCCGAACCAAUUUUAGUUAAUGCCUCAUUGUGAAAAAAGCAAAGACAAACAUUUAAAAAUGGUUUUUUUACCUCCAUUUUGUAGUCUUCCAACCUCCUUCCACUCUGUGUUCAGCCAGGUUAAGGGUGACACAGCUGCACUCACUCCUUUGCGCGUGACAGAGUAGGCAUUCUUACCUUACUAUAGAAAGCCAGAAAGAUGUUUUACUGUCCCUUUAUGGCGCCCACGAUCGAUGAGGGGAGUCGAGGUGAUUCAAGUGGUAAGGUGGAGAGUGUAUCGGUGUCUAUCAGACCUCUCUCAUGCUGUCUGUGUCUGUCUCUCCCCGUUAGUAAUCACCUCUCUCUGUGUCUCUGUCUCUCCCCGUCAGCAAUCACCUCUCUCUGCGUCUCUGUCUCUCCCAGUUAGCAAUCCCCUCUCUGUGUCUCUGUCUCUCCCCGAUAGCAAUCACGUCUCUCUGCGUCUCCCCGUUAACAAUCACCUCUCUCAUGCUGUCUGUGUCUCUGUCUCUCCCCGUUUGCAAUCACCUCUCUCUGGGUCUCUUCCCGUUAGUUAACCCCUCUCUCUGUGUCUUUGUCUCUCCCUGUUUGCAAUCACCUCUCUCUGUGUCUCUCUCUCCCUGUUCGCAAUCACUUCUCUCAUGCUGUCUGUGUCUCUGUCUCUCCUCGUUAGUAAACACCUCUCUCUGUGUCUCUGUCUCUCCCCAUUAGCAAUCACCUUUCUCUGCAUCUCUGUCUCUCCCCGUUAGCAAUCACCUGUCUCUGCGUCUCUGUCUCUCCCCGUUAGCAAUCACCUGUCUCUGCGUCUCUGUCUCUCCCCGUUAGCAAUCACCUCUCUCUGCGUCUCUGUCUCUCCUUGUUAGCAAUCACCUCUCUCUGUGUCUUUGUCUCUCCCUGUUAGCGAUCACCUCUCUGUGUCUUUGUCUCUCCCCGUUAGCAAUCACCUCUCUCUGUGUCUUUGUCUCUCCCCGUUAGCAAUCACCUCUCUCUGUGUCUCUGUCUCUCCCUGUUCGCAAUCACUUCUCUCAGGCUGUCUGUGUCUCUGUCUCUCCUCAUUAGUAAACACCUGGAGAGCGUAUCGGUGUCUAUCAGACCUCUCUCAUGCUGUCUGUGUCUGUCUCUCCCCGUUAGUAAACACCCCUCUCUGUGUCUCUGUCUCUCCCCGUUAGCAAUCACCUCUCUCUGUGUCUUUGUAUCUCCCUGCUCGCAAUCACCUCUCUCUGCGUCUCUGUCUCUCCCCGUUAGCAAUCACCUCUCUCUGUGUCUUUGUCUCUCCCCGUUAGCAAUCACCUCUCUCAUGCUGUCUCUGUCUCUGUCUCUCCUCAUUAGUAAACACCUGUCUCUGUGUCUUUGUCUCUCCCCGUUAGCAAUCACCUCUCUCUGUGUCUUUGUCUCUCCCCAUUAGCAAUCACCUCUCUUUCUCUCACUCACUAGAGUGGGUUUGACCUGCGUGUGACCUUUUUCUUGGUAAUGAAGUAAUGCAGUUCAUCUGCUAGUCAAAAUAACAAGGUGUUUGGUAAACAUGGCUCUUCUGUGACCCUGCUCGAAUCAAUUCACAUGAUUAGGCAUCAAGGGUAAUUCGCAAGUUUUCUAAAUAAAAUAUGCUGUGUGUUCGGACUUGAAUUUCUU
This 6153-nucleotide long non-coding RNA is filed under the name Salmo trutta (river trout). Its description in RNAcentral is "lncRNA (ENSSTUG00000012414.1)". Lineage: Eukaryota; Metazoa; Chordata; Actinopteri; Salmoniformes; Salmonidae. The record is from RNAcentral.